GUAGUCCACGCUGUAAACGAUGAGUGUUAGGUGUUGGGAUCGCAAGAUUUCAGUGCCGUAGCUAACGCGUUAAACACUCCGCCUGGGGAGUAAGGUCGCAAGAUUAAAACUCAAAGGAAUUGACGGGGACCUGCACAAGUGGUGGAACAUGCGGUUUAAUUCGAUGUUACGCGAAAAACCUUACCAACUCUUGACAUAGUGGUCGCGAGGCUCGGAAACGAGUUUCUUCAGUUCGGCUGGACCACAUACAGGUGUUGCAUGGCUGUCGUCAGCUCGUGUUGUGAGAUGUUAGGUUAAGUCCUGCAACGAGCGCAACCCCUAUCCUUAUUUGCCAGCGGGUAAUGCCGGGAACUAUAAGGAAACCGCCAGUUAUAAACUGGA
Molecule: ribosomal RNA, 381 nt
Filed under: uncultured bacterium
Lineage: Bacteria
Description: bacterial SSU rRNA
Rfam family: Bacterial small subunit ribosomal RNA
Source: RNAcentral